This 253-nucleotide ribosomal RNA is filed under the name uncultured bacterium. Its description in RNAcentral is "partial 16S ribosomal RNA". It matches the Rfam family "Bacterial small subunit ribosomal RNA", at positions 524 to 776 of the family's 1533-position model. The record is from RNAcentral.
GACAGAGGGUGCAAACGUUGUUCGGAAUCACUGGGCGUAAAGCGCGUGUAGGCGGCCUGUUAAGUCUGAUGUGAAAGCCCGGGGCUCACCCCCGGAAGUGCAUUGGAAACUGCCAGGCUCGAGUCCCGGAGAGGAGGGUGGAAUUCCUGGUGUAGCGGUGAAAUGCGUAGAUAUCAGGAGGAACACCGGUGGCGAAGGCGGCCCUCUGGACGGUGACUGACGCUGAGACGCGAAAGCGUGGGGAGCAAACAGG